ACUCCUACGGGAGGCAGCAGUGGGGAAUCUUGCGCAAUGGGCGAAAGCCUGACGCAGCCAUGCCGCGUGAAUGAUGAAGGUCUUAGGAUUGUAAAAUUCUUUCACCGGGGACGAUAAUGACGGUACCCGGAGAAGAAGCCCCGGCUAACUUCGUGCCAGCAGCCGCGGUAAUACGAAGGGGGCUAGCGUUGCUCGGAAUUACUGGGCGUAAAGGGAGCGUAGGCGGACAUUUAAGUCAGGGGUGAAAUCCCGGGGCUCAACCUCGGAAUUGCCUUUGAUACUGGGUGUCUUGAGUAUGAGAGAGGUGUGUGGAACUUCGAGUGUAGAGGUGAAAUUCGUAGAUAUUCGGAAGAACACCAGUGGCGAAGGCGACACACUGGCUCAUUACUGACGCUGAGGCUCGAAAGCGUGGGGAGCAAACAGGAUUAGAAACCCCAGUAGUCCCA
This 446-nucleotide ribosomal RNA is filed under the name uncultured organism. RNAcentral describes it as "partial 16S ribosomal RNA". It matches the Rfam family "Bacterial small subunit ribosomal RNA", at positions 335 to 797 of the family's 1533-position model. The record is from RNAcentral.